Molecule: ribosomal RNA, 59 nt
Filed under: Gloeophyllum sepiarium
Lineage: Eukaryota; Fungi; Basidiomycota; Agaricomycetes; Gloeophyllales; Gloeophyllaceae
Also listed under: 2 other names
Description: partial 28S ribosomal RNA
Rfam family: Eukaryotic large subunit ribosomal RNA
Source: RNAcentral
UUGACCUCAAAUCAGGUAGGAUUACCCGCUGAACUUAAGCAUAUCAAUAAGCGGAGGAA